This 497-nucleotide ribosomal RNA is filed under the name uncultured bacterium. Its description in RNAcentral is "partial 16S ribosomal RNA". It matches the Rfam family "Bacterial small subunit ribosomal RNA", at positions 28 to 507 of the family's 1533-position model. The record is from RNAcentral.
GAUGAACGCUGGCGGCGUGCCUAAUACAUGCAAGUCGAGCGAACGGACGAGAAGCUUGCUUUUCUGAUGUUAGCGGCGGACGGGUGAGUAACACGUGGAUAACCUACCUAUAAGACUGGGAUAACUUCGGGAAACCGGAGCUAAUACCGGAUAAUAUUUUGAACCGCAUGGUUCAAAAGUGAAAGACGGUCUUGCUGUCACUUAUAGAUGGAUCCGCGCUGCAUUAGCUAGUUGGUAAGGUAACGGCUUACCAAGGCAACGAUGCAUAGCCGACCUGAGAGGGUGAUCGGCCACACUGGAACUGAGACGCGGUCCAGACUCCUACGGGAGGCAGCAGUAGGGAAUCUUCCGCAAUGGGCGAGAGCCUGACGGAGCAACGCCGCGUGAGUGAUGAAGGUCUUCGGAUCGUAAAACUCUGUUAUUAGGGAAGAACAUAUGUGUAAGUAACUGUGCACAUCUUGACGGUACCUAAUCAGAAAGCCACGGCUAACUACGUG